Molecule: ribosomal RNA, 446 nt
Filed under: uncultured bacterium
Lineage: Bacteria
Description: bacterial SSU rRNA
Rfam family: Bacterial small subunit ribosomal RNA
Source: RNAcentral
AACGCGAAGAACCUUACCUGGGUUUGACAUGCCAGGAUUAUCCCUGUGAAAGCAGGGUAGGCCCUUCGGGGUACAACUGGUACAGGUGCUGCAUGGCUGUCGUCAGCUCGUGUCGUGAGAUGUCGGGUUAAGUCCCUUAACGAGCGAAACCUUUGCCCUUAGUUACCAGCGGGUUAUGCCGGGGACUCUAAGGGGACUGCCGGUGUCAAACCGGAGGAAGGUGGAGAUGACGUCAAGUCCUCAUGGCCUUUAUGCCCAGGGCUACACACGUGCUACAAUGGGAUGGAUAAAGCGAACCUAAAGUGCAAACUCAUGGAAAUCGCAAAAAUCAUCCCUCAGUUCAGAUUGGAGGCUGCAACUCGCCUCCAUGAAGUUGGAAUCGCUAGUAAUCGCGGAUCAGCUACGCCGCGGUGAAUGUGUUCCCGGGCCUUGUACACACCGGAGUA